Molecule: unclassified non-coding RNA, 400 nt
Filed under: soil metagenome
Description: partial contains 5.8S ribosomal RNA, internal transcribed spacer 2, and large subunit ribosomal RNA
Rfam family: 5.8S ribosomal RNA (bases 1-122)
Source: RNAcentral
GAUGAAGAACGUAGCAAACUGCGAUACUUGGUGUGAAUUGCAGAAUCCCGUGAACCAUCGAGUCUUUGAACGCAAGUUGCGCUUGAAGCCAUUAGGCUGAGGGCACGUCUGCCUGGGCGUCACAUAUCGUUGCCUGAUGCCAGUUUCCUCGUGAUGGGUGACUGUGCAGGGCGAAUGAUGGCUUCCCGUGAGCAUUGUUGCCUCAUGGUUGGUUGAAAAUUGAGUCCUUGGUAGGGAGCGCCGUGAUAGAUGGUGGUUGAGUGACGAACGAGACCCAAUCAUGUGAGACCCCUACCGAAUUUGGCCUUCAUGACCCACAUGCGUCUUUGGAACGCUCAUGACGAGACCUCAGGUCAGGCGGGGCUACCCGCUGAGUUUAAGCAUAUCAAUAAGCGGAGGA